GACGAACGCUGGCGGCGUGCUUAACACAUGCAAGUCGAACGGAAAGGCCCUGCUUUUGUGGGGUGCUCGAGUGGCGAACGGGUGAGUAACACGUGAGUAACCUGCCCUUGACUUUGGGAUAACUUCAGGAAACUGGGGCUAAUACCGGAUAGGAGCUCCUGCUGCAUGGUGGGGGUUGGAAAGUUUCGGCGGCUGGGGAUGGACUCGCGGCUUAUCAGCUUGUUGGUGGGGUAGUGGCUUACCAAGGCUUUGACGGGUAGCCGGCCUGAGAGGGUGACCGGCCACAUUGGGACUGAGAUACGGCCCAGACUCCUACGGGAGGCAGCAGUGGGGAAUAUUGCACAAUGGGCGGAAGCCUGAUGCAGCAACGCCGCGUGCGGGGUGACGGCCUUCGGGUUGUAAACCGCUUUCGCCUGUGACGAAGCGUGAGUGACGGUAAUGGGUAAAGAAGCACCGGCUAACUACGUG
This 468-nucleotide ribosomal RNA is filed under the name uncultured bacterium. RNAcentral describes it as "partial 16S ribosomal RNA". It matches the Rfam family "Bacterial small subunit ribosomal RNA", at positions 28 to 507 of the family's 1533-position model. The record is from RNAcentral.